CCUACGGGCGGCAGCAGUGGGGAAUAUUGGACAAUGGGUGAAAGCCUGAUCCAGCCAUGCCGCGUGUGUGAAGAAGGCCUUCGGGUUGUAAAGCACUUUCAGUGGGGAAGAAAGCCUUGGGGCUAAUACCCUCGAGGAAGGACAUCACCCACAGAAGAAGCACCGGCUAACUCCGUGCCAGCAGCCGCGGUAAUACGGAGGGUGCGAGCGUUAAUCGGAAUUACUGGGCGUAAAGCGCGCGUAGGCGGUCUGAUAAGCCGGUUGUGAAAGCCCCGGGCUCAACCUGGGAACGGCAUCCGGAACUGUCAGGCUAGAGUGCAGGAGAGGAAGGUAGAAUUCCCGGUGUAGCGGUGAAAUGCGUAGAGAUCGGGAGGAAUACCAGUGGCGAAGGCGGCCUUCUGGACUGACACUGACGCUGAGGUGCGAAAGCGUGGGUAGCAAACAGGAUUAGAUACCCGGGUAGUC
This 465-nucleotide ribosomal RNA is filed under the name Vreelandella stevensii. RNAcentral's name for it is "partial 16S ribosomal RNA". It matches the Rfam family "Bacterial small subunit ribosomal RNA", at positions 338 to 795 of the family's 1533-position model. Lineage: Bacteria; Pseudomonadati; Pseudomonadota; Gammaproteobacteria; Oceanospirillales; Halomonadaceae. The record is from RNAcentral.